GUUGGGUUUUUGUUGCUUUGCUUGUGUAAAGAGCGCUUUCUGUCUUUUUUUUUUUCUUCUCUUCCAGGGCUAAUGAUUGUUACCCCCUAAAAUGUUCCUUUUUUUGGCCCCUUCUCUUUGCAAGAGCUAAAAGGCUCUCUGGCCAUGCCACUGCUCUCCUUUUGCAGUGUUUUGUGUGUGAAGCAAGAGAAGGUUCUGGGGAGGUAGAGUCUGGCUUCAGGGAGAGAACAGAGAGGACCAAACCAGCAGGCACCGGAGAUGAACACGUGCAGAGCUGCGGAACGGCAGCAUGUAAUGGUGCACUAAUCGCCUUCUCUUUUCUCAGGUGCUGGCUCAAAAGUGACUCAGUACUUGAUCAAUACCUCUAG
Molecule: long non-coding RNA, 368 nt
Filed under: Struthio camelus australis
Lineage: Eukaryota; Metazoa; Chordata; Aves; Struthioniformes; Struthionidae
Description: lncRNA (ENSSCUG00000000808.1)
Source: RNAcentral